GGGUUGUGAGGUUAAGCGACUAAGCGUACACGGUGGAUGCCCUGGCAGUCAGAGGCGAUGAAGGACGUGCUAAUCUGCGAUAAGCGUCGGUAAGGUGAUAUGAACCGUUAUAACCGGCGAUUUCCGAAUGGGGAAACCCAGUGUGAUUCGUCACACUAUCAUUAACUGAAUCCAUAGGUUAAUGAGGCGAACCGGGGGAACUGAAACAUCUAAGUACCCCGAGGAAAAGAAAUCAACCGAGAUUCCCCCAGUAGCGGCGAGCGAACGGGGAGCAGCCCAGAGCCUGAAUCAGUGUGUGUGUUAGUGGAAGCGUCUGGAAAGGCGCGCGAUACAGGGUGACAGCCCCGUACACAAAAAUGCACAUGCUGUGAGCUCGAUGAGUAGGGCGGGACACGUGGUAUCCUGUCUGAAUAUGGGGGGACCAUCCUCCAAGGCUAAAUACUCCUGACUGACCGAUAGUGAACCAGUACCGUGAGGGAAAGGCGAAAAGAACCCCGGCGAGGGGAGUGAAAAAGAACCUGAAACCGUGUACGUACAAGCAGUGGGAGCACAGAGCAAUCUGUGUGACUGCGUACCUUUUGUAUAAUGGGUCAGCGACUUAUAUUCUGUAGCAAGGUUAACCGAAUAGGGGAGCCGAAGGGAAACCGAGUCUUAACUGGGCGUUAAGUUGCAGGGUAUAGACCCGAAACCCGGUGAUCUAGCCAUGGGCAGGUUGAAGGUUGGGUAACACUAACUGGAGGACCGAACCGACUAAUGUUGAAAAAUUAGCGGAUGACUUGUGGCUGGGGGUGAAAGGCCAAUCAAACCGGGAGAUAGCUGGUUCUCCCCGAAAGCUAUUUAGGUAGCGCCUCGUGAAUUCAUCUCCGGGGGUAGAGCACUGUUUCGGCAAGGGGGUCAUCCCGA
RNAcentral lists this ribosomal RNA (903 nucleotides) under Escherichia coli. Its description in RNAcentral is "partial 23S ribosomal RNA". It matches the Rfam family "Bacterial large subunit ribosomal RNA", at positions 1 to 934 of the family's 2925-position model. The record is from RNAcentral. Lineage: Bacteria; Pseudomonadati; Pseudomonadota; Gammaproteobacteria; Enterobacterales; Enterobacteriaceae.